This 1432-nucleotide ribosomal RNA is filed under the name uncultured organism. RNAcentral's name for it is "16S ribosomal RNA". It matches the Rfam family "Bacterial small subunit ribosomal RNA". The record is from RNAcentral.
UUAACACAUGCAAGUCGAGGGGCAGCAUGGUCUUUUCUUGCUAAGGCCGAUGGCGACCGGCGCACGGGUGAGUAACACGUAUCCAACCUGCCGUCUACUCUUGGACAGCCUUCUGAAAGGAAGAUUAAUACAAGAUGGCAUCAUGAGUCCGCAUGUUCACAUGAUUAAAGGUAUUCCGGUAGACGAUGGGGAUGCGUUCCAUUAGAUAGUAGGCGGGGUAACGGCCCACCUAGUCUUCGAUGGAUAGGGGUUCUGAGAGGAAGGUCCCCCACAUUGGAACUGAGACACGGUCCAAACUCCUACGGGAGGCAGCAGUGAGGAAUAUUGGUCAAUGGGCGAGAGCCUGAACCAGCCAAGUAGCGUGAAGGAUGACUGCCCUAUGGGUUGUAAACUUCUUUUAUAAAGGAAUAAAGUCGGGUAUGGAUACCCGUUUGCAUGUACUUUAUGAAUAAGGAUCGGCUAACUCCGUGCCAGCAGCCGCGGUAAUACGGAGGAUCCGAGCGUUAUCCGGAUUUAUUGGGUUUAAAGGGAGCGUAGAUGGAUGUUUAAGUCAGUUGUGAAAGUUUGCGGCUCAACCGUAAAAUUGCAGUUGAUACUGGAUAUCUUGAGUGCAGUUGAGGCAGGCGGAAUUCGUGGUGUAGCGGUGAAAUGCUUAGAUAUCACGAAGAACUCCGAUUGCGAUGGCAGCCUGCUAAGCUGCAACUGACAUUGAGGCUCGAAAGUGUGGGUAUCAAACAGGAUUAGAUACCCUGGUAGUCCACACGGUAAACGAUGAAUACUCGCUGUUUGCGAUAUACAGCAAGCGGCCAAGCGAAAGCGUUAAGUAUUCCACCUGGGGAGUACGCCGGCAACGGUGAAACUCAAAGGAAUUGACGGGGGCCCGCACAAGCGGAGGAACAUGUGGUUUAAUUCGAUGAUACGCGAGGAACCUUACCCGGGCUUAAAUUGCAGAUGAAUUACGGUGAAAGCCGUAAGCCGCAAGGCAUCUGUGAAGGUGCUGCAUGGUUGUCGUCAGCUCGUGCCGUGAGGUGUCGGCUUAAGUGCCAUAACGAGCGCAACCCUUGUUGUCAGUUACUAACAGGUUCCGCUGAGGACUCUGACAAGACUGCCAUCGUAAGAUGUGAGGAAGGUGGGGAUGACGUCAAAUCAGCACGGCCCUUACGUCCGGGGCUACACACGUGUUACAAUGGGGGGUACAGAGGGCCGCUACCACGCGAGUGGAUGCCAAUCCCCAAAACCUCUCUCAGUUCGGACUGGAGUCUGCAACCCGACUCCACGAAGCUGGAUUCGCUAGUAAUCGCGCAUCAGCCACGGCGCGGUGAAUACGUUCCCGGGCCUUGUACACACCGCCCGUCAAGCCAUGGGAGCCGGGGGUACCUGAAGUGCGUAACCGCGAGGAGCGCCCUAGGGUAAAACUGGUGACUGGGGCUAA